UGGCGGACGGGUGAGUAAUGUCUGGGAAACUGCCUGAUGGAGGGGGAUAACUACUGGAAACGGUAGCUAAUACCGCAUAACGCCGCAAGACCAAAGAGGGGGACCUUCGGGCCUCUUGCCAUCGGAUGUGCCCAGAUGGGAUUAGCUAGUAGGUGGGGUAACGGCUCACCUAGGCGACGAUCCCUAGCUGGUCUGAGAGGAUGACCAGCCACACUGGAACUGAGACACGGUCCAGACUCCUACGGGAGGCAGCAG
RNAcentral lists this ribosomal RNA (255 nucleotides) under uncultured bacterium. RNAcentral describes it as "partial 16S ribosomal RNA". It matches the Rfam family "Bacterial small subunit ribosomal RNA", at positions 96 to 354 of the family's 1533-position model. The record is from RNAcentral.